Molecule: small RNA, 28 nt
Filed under: Bombyx mori (domestic silkworm)
Lineage: Eukaryota; Metazoa; Arthropoda; Insecta; Lepidoptera; Bombycidae
Description: ovarian small RNA-34545
Source: RNAcentral
UGGACGAAGUUCACGCUUUGUGCCUUGC